Molecule: ribosomal RNA, 1431 nt
Filed under: Staphylococcus aureus
Lineage: Bacteria; Bacillati; Bacillota; Bacilli; Caryophanales; Staphylococcaceae
Description: bacterial SSU rRNA
Rfam family: Bacterial small subunit ribosomal RNA
Source: RNAcentral
CUAUACAUGCAGUCGAGCGAACGGACGAGAAGCUUGCUUCUCUGAUGUUAGCGGCGGACGGGUGAGUAACACGUGGAUAACCUACCUAUAAGACUGGGAUAACUUCGGGAAACCGGAGCUAAUACCGGAUAAUAUUUUGAACCGCAUGGUUCAAAAGUGAAAGACGGUCUUGCUGUCACUUAUAGAUGGAUCCGCGCUGCAUUAGCUAGUUGGUAAGGUAACGGCUUACCAAGGCAACGAUGCAUAGCCGACCUGAGAGGGUGAUCGGCCACACUGGAACUGAGACACGGUCCAGACUCCUACGGGAGGCAGCAGUAGGGAAUCUUCCGCAAUGGGCGAAAGCCUGACGGAGCAACGCCGCGUGAGUGAUGAAGGUCUUCGGAUCGUAAAACUCUGUUAUUAGGGAAGAACAUAUGUGUAAGUAACUGUGCACAUCUUGACGGUACCUAAUCAGAAAGCCACGGCUAACUACGUGCCAGCAGCCGCGGUAAUACGUAGGUGGCAAGCGUUAUCCGGAAUUAUUGGGCGUAAAGCGCGCGUAGGCGGUUUUUUAAGUCUGAUGUGAAAGCCCACGGCUCAACCGUGGAGGGUCAUUGGAAACUGGAAAACUUGAGUGCAGAAGAGGAAAGUGGAAUUCCAUGUGUAGCGGUGAAAUGCGCAGAGAUAUGGAGGAACACCAGUGGCGAAGGCGACUUUCUGGUCUGUAACUGACGCUGAUGUGCGAAAGCGUGGGGAUCAAACAGGAUUAGAUACCCUGGUAGUCCACGCCGUAAACGAUGAGUGCUAAGUGUUAGGGGGUUUCCGCCCCUUAGUGCUGCAGCUAACGCAUUAAGCACUCCGCCUGGGGAGUACGACCGCAAGGUUGAAACUCAAAGGAAUUGACGGGGACCCGCACAAGCGGUGGAGCAUGUGGUUUAAUUCGAAGCAACGCGAAGAACCUUACCAAAUCUUGACAUCCUUUGACAACUCUAGAGAUAGAGCUUUCCCCUUCGGGGGACAAAGUGACAGGUGGUGCAUGGUUGUCGUCAGCUCGUGUCGUGAGAUGUUGGGUUAAGUCCCGCAACGAGCGCAACCCUUAAGCUUAGUUGCCAUCAUUAAGUUGGGCACUCUAAGUUGACUGCCGGUGACAAACCGGAGGAAGGUGGGGAUGACGUCAAAUCAUCAUGCCCCUUAUGAUUUGGGCUACACACGUGCUACAAUGGACAAUACAAAGGGCAGCGAAACCGCGAGGUCAAGCAAAUCCCAUAAAGUUGUUCUCAGUUCGGAUUGUAGUCUGCAACUCGACUACAUGAAGCUGGAAUCGCUAGUAAUCGUAGAUCAGCAUGCUACGGUGAAUACGUUCCCGGGUCUUGUACACACCGCCCGUCACACCACGAGAGUUUGUAACACCCGAAGCCGGUGGAGUAACCUUUUAGGAGCUAGCCGUCGAAG